AACGAACGCUGGCGGCAGGCCUAACACAUGCAAGUCGAGCGAGCAUUUCGGUGCUAGCGGCGGACGGGUGAGUAACGCGUGGGAACGUGCCCUUUUCUGCAGAAUAGUCCUGGGAAACUGGGGGUAAUACCGCAUACGCCCUUUUGGGGAAAGAUUUAUCGGAGAAGGAUCGGCCCGCGUUGGAUUAGGUAGUUGGUGGGGUAAUGGCCCACCAAGCCGACGAUCCAUAGCUGGUUUGAGAGGAUGAUCAGCCACACUGGGACUGAGACACGGCCCAGACUCCUACGGGAGGCAGCAGUGGGGAAUCUUAGACAAUGGGGGCAACCCUGAUCGAGCCAUGCCGCGUGAGUGAUGAAGGCCUUAGGGUUGUAAAGCUCUUUCAGCUGGGAAGAUAAUGACGGUACCAGCAGAAGAAGCCCCGGCUAACUCCGUG
Molecule: ribosomal RNA, 433 nt
Filed under: uncultured bacterium
Lineage: Bacteria
Description: partial 16S ribosomal RNA
Rfam family: Bacterial small subunit ribosomal RNA
Source: RNAcentral